Molecule: ribosomal RNA, 576 nt
Filed under: uncultured eukaryote
Lineage: Eukaryota
Description: SSU rRNA
Rfam family: Eukaryotic small subunit ribosomal RNA
Source: RNAcentral
UAAAAACCCCGACUUCGGAAGGGGUGUAUUUAUUAGAUACAAAACCAAUGCCCUUCGGGGCUCUUUGGUGAUUCAUGAUAACUAUACGAAUCGCACGGCCUUGCGCCGGCGAUGGUUCAUUCAAAUUUCUUCCCUAUCAACUUUCGAUGUUUGGGUAUUGGCCAAACAUGGUUGCAACGGGUAACGGAGGGUUAGGGCUCGACCCCGGAGAAGGAGCCUGAGAAACGGCUACUACAUCCAAGGAAGGCAGCAGGCGCGCAAAUUACCCAAUCCCGACUCGGGGAGGUAGUGACAAUAAAUACUGAUACAGGGCCCUUUCGGGCCUUGUAAUUGGAAUGAGUACAAUUUAAAUCCCUUAACGAGGAACAAUUGGAGGGCAAGUCUGGUGCCAGCAGCCGCGGUAAUUCCAGCUCCAAUAGCGUAUAUUAAAGUUGUUGUGGUUAAAAAGCUCGUAGUUGAACCUUGGGCCUGGCUGGCCGGUCCGCCUCACCGCGUGCACUGGCCCGGCCGGGCCUUUCCCUCUGUGGAACCCCAUACCCUUCACUGGGCGUGGCGGGGAAACAGGACAUUUACUUU